UACGUAGGGGGCAAGCGUUGUCCGGAAUCAUUGGGCGUAAAGCGCGCGUAGGCGGCCCGGUAAGUCCGCUGUGAAAGUCCAGGGCUCAACCCUGGGAUGCCGGUGGAUACUGUCGGGCUAGAGUACGGAAGAGGCGAGUGGAAUUCCCGGUGUAGCGGUGAAAUGCGCAGAUAUCGGGAGGAACACCAAUUGCGAAGGCAGCUCGCUGGGACGUUACUGACGCUGAGACGCGAAAGCGUGGGGAGCAAACAGG
RNAcentral lists this ribosomal RNA (253 nucleotides) under uncultured bacterium. RNAcentral's name for it is "partial 16S ribosomal RNA". It matches the Rfam family "Bacterial small subunit ribosomal RNA", at positions 524 to 776 of the family's 1533-position model. The record is from RNAcentral.